This 424-nucleotide ribosomal RNA is filed under the name uncultured bacterium. RNAcentral's name for it is "partial 16S ribosomal RNA". It matches the Rfam family "Bacterial small subunit ribosomal RNA", at positions 360 to 776 of the family's 1533-position model. The record is from RNAcentral.
AAUAGUGGACAAUGGGGUGAACGCUGAUCCAGUCAUGCCGCGUGUUUGAAGAAGGUCUUCGGAUUGUAAAGCACUUUAAGUUGGGAGGAAGAGUUGUAGGCUAAUACCUUCCAAUUUUGACGUUACCACCAGAAUAAGCACCGGCUAACUUCGUGCGAGCGUCCGCGGUAAUACGAAGGGUGCAAGCGUUAAUCGGAAUUACUGGGCGUAAAGCGCGCGUAGGUGGUUCGUUAAGUUGGAAGUGAAAGCCCCGGGCUUAACCUGGGAAUUGCUUUCAAAACUGACGAGCUAGAGUACGGUAGAGGGUAGUGGAAUUUCCUGUGUAGCGGUGAAAUGCGUAGAUAUAGGAAGGAACAUCAGUGGCGAAGGCGACUACCUGGACUGAUACUGACACUGAGGUGCGAAAGCGUGGGGAGCAAACAGG